AGACCAUAGUGAGGGCAUCUUUCUACCAGCAACUUAAAUCUCUCCCAAGCUUCAUAAAAACUUUCUCCUUCCAUUUGUUUAAAAUCUGUGAUCUCUCUUCUCAGUUG
Non-coding RNA from Gossypium raimondii (Peruvian cotton), 107 nucleotides. Lineage: Eukaryota; Viridiplantae; Streptophyta; Magnoliopsida; Malvales; Malvaceae. The record is from Rfam.